AAUGCAUCGGAACGUGCCCAGUCGUGGGGGAUAACGCAGCGAAAGCUGCGCUAAUACCGCAUACGAUCUAUGGAUGAAAGCGGGGGACCGUAAGGCCUCGCGCGAUUGGAGCGGCCGAUGUCAGAUUAGGUAGUUGGUGGGGUAAAGGCUCACCAAGCCAACGAUCUGUGGCUGGUCUGAGAGGACGACCAGCCACACUGGAACUGAGACACGGUCCAG
Molecule: ribosomal RNA, 219 nt
Filed under: uncultured bacterium
Lineage: Bacteria
Description: partial 16S ribosomal RNA
Rfam family: Bacterial small subunit ribosomal RNA
Source: RNAcentral